AUUGAACGCUGGCGGCAUGCCUUACACAUGCAAGUCGAACGGCAGCACGGGAGCAAUCCUGGUGGCGAGUGGCGAACGGGUGAGUAAUAUAUCGGAACGUGCCCAGUAGUGGGGGAUAACCCGGCGAAAGCCGGACUAAUACCGCAUACGACCUACGGGUGAAAGCAGGGGAUCGCAAGACCUUGCGCUAUCGGAGCGGCCGAUAUCAGAUUAGCUUGUUGGUGGGGUAAAAGCCCACCAAGGCGACGAUCUGUAGCUGGUCUGAGAGGACGACCAGCCACACUGGGACUGAGACACGGCCCAGACUCCUACGGGAGGCAGCAGUGGGGAAUUUUGGACAAUGGGCGCAAGCCUGAUCCAGCCAUGCCGCGUGCGGGACGAAGGCCUUCGGGUUGUAAACCGCUUUCAGCCGGAAAGAAAUACGCCAAGGCUAAUAUCCUUGGUGGAUGACGGUACCGGAAGAAGAAGACACCGGCUAACUACGUGCCAGCAGCCGCGGUAA
This 502-nucleotide ribosomal RNA is filed under the name uncultured bacterium. Its description in RNAcentral is "bacterial SSU rRNA". It matches the Rfam family "Bacterial small subunit ribosomal RNA", at positions 29 to 523 of the family's 1533-position model. The record is from RNAcentral.